Long non-coding RNA from Aedes albopictus (Asian tiger mosquito), 14590 nucleotides. RefSeq lists it as uncharacterized. The record is from RefSeq and is a predicted model, not a curated record. NCBI's taxonomy places the organism in Eukaryota, Metazoa, Arthropoda, Insecta, Diptera, Culicidae. The transcript is spliced from 4 exons.
GGGCGUGCAAGUGUGUGAGUGUGCUGCAGUCACAGCAGCGUGUCAGCAGCAGCAGCGAUGGAAAAGAGAGAAUGAGGAUGAGCGCAGUGCCGUAGCGGAGGAAGCGACCGCGCGGUGUAGUGUGACUAGAAAAAUAAGAACCAAGCAGCGUGUCGUGAGUGAGUGCUUGGGUCUGUUCUGGUUUUUUUUUAUAGCCAGUAAUCAUGCUGAUUCCUGGGGAGAUAUCGCGCUGCUUGGUGGACGGUGGAAGACGCACAAAAAAAACAGUUGACUGCGAAAUAACAUGCGCGAGUUGGACGUUUUUCUGUUUUGAAUCGAGAGGGAGAGUACAGAGCAUCAUCCCGUGCGGGUCGAAGGCGGGGGUGGUUCAGCACGACGACGGUCGGCCGCGGCACAGCCAGAUGACAAAUACAGUGCCAAACCGGGUGCCAGUUCAUCACCAGAAGUCCUUGCGAAACGAAUCGUGCGGAAGAGCAGCAGCUCGCGGACUGUGUGUGCACCGGGAAGCGCAGGACAGGAAUGGCGCUGCUGUGGAAGAAGGAAACGGCGGUCGUGACUCGCGCGAAGAAGGAGGCAAAAUUAGUGACAAUUAUGGUGGCAUCUUCUUGGCAGUUCGCCGGACAAAAAGUGGCAAAUUCCGCGAGGGCUUCGACAGAAGUGGCGCCACUAGCGUGCGCGUUGGGCCACUGUCGCCAUCCGGUGGAGAAAGUUGCAAACUUCGGCGCCGCAAGGAGAAGACGAAGAAGAGACGGCAGCUGCAUUCAGACGGAGUGUCUUAUCUGAAGAACGAUUGGCGGCGGUCUGGUGACCACGAUAAGAGCGCCACCGUCAAGUGAAAGCGACGAAUGAUGAGUCACAGGACGUUUCGUCCAGAUAUCUUCACCCAGUCAGUUGUCGUAACCGCGAAUGCUCUCUAACGGCGGGCACGUGUGAGUGGUUUUCCAGUGAAGUGUUGAUAAGGAACUACGGUGGUGGCUACUGAGUGCGGACGAUGAGUGAGACUCCCUGUCUGAUAAGAGUGUGGCGCGGCUCAGGAAGGUCUGAUCUGACAAGUGAAUGACUUGUUCAAGUGACAGCAAAACAUCGAGGCUCGGCUUUUGAAGCUACGGCGCGAAGCAAAAGACGUUCGCACCGGGUGGACGGUUUCUGGUUGGAGCUUGGAUCGCGUGUACACUUGGCUCACUGCUGUUGCUGCUGCGGUGGCGACGGCAACUGCAGUGUGAUGCCGGGCCAGAAAGAGAGCGCCGAGUCGACCUCCGGACCCCUCGAGAACCGGACCGGAGUGCGGUGGAGCCUUUCGUGCAGUCAACGUCGUUUUUGCUGUGGCAGUUGCUCGGUGGAGCGCAGCAAGUGUGGAUCGUGGAACAGAACCACAAUCAAGAACUCUAUCUAUUGCCAACCCUGUGCGCUUGUUACAGCCCUGCUGUUACAACACACGAAACUGUGUGUGCCAAACGUCACACGUCGCUGUCGUCACUCGCAGAAAGGAAAAUACCACAGUGCAAAAAGUGAAAAAUAAGCAAAGCAAAUCGAAAAUCAGUGUCGGAGCAACUAGCAUUGGACGGUUUAGCGGAAACGGUAAUCUGCACAGCGAAGAAACGAGAAUCGUGAUAGUCGUGAGUUCCUGCCGAAUCGCGAAACCGCCUACUGAGGAACCGCGCUCGAAAUGACAAUCCAUUACUGUGUGCAAUCGAUCAAAGUGCUCUGUGACUGAGAUGUGCGUGUGCUGUGAUAAUUUCGGUGCUCGGCCUUCUGGGAUUAUCCAAUGUGACGGCUUCCAGUCUAGUAUCCAGCAAGCUGAUUAAUCGCUGAAAACCUCUCCAACCACGAAACCCUCAAAACUCCGCACAUCGCAAAAACCCUCCAAGGAAUCAAAAAAGAUCUGAUGUUUACCGUCCUUUGUCAAACAGGUAUGUUUUCGAAAAACACUCGAUCAACGCAACUUUGUUUACAUUUCACUUCCAAAGACGAUAAAAUCUUCCAAACAAUUUACGACUGCACGAAUGGCUUUGCUUACGAUCGGUCCACACAACACAACGCACGAACAAAGACAAACUUUACCGUAUCUUUGCAGCUCGGGUGCAGCUCGGGCUCCACCUCUCGUGUAACGGUCUCAUGGUGGCGGAGAAACUUUUCUCCAUUUCUCGGCCACUAACUUAUUGUUUAUUCAAACUCUCACGCAUAUGCUUUCCGAUGGGUUGCUCGGAUGGCAUCCACCCACUCGCGCGCGCCUUAAACGGCGACCAAACUUUUCAAAACACACGCGGGUUCGUGGCUCUGUUAGAUCAAAUAAGGCCAACCCUGGUGCUGCCCCACCCCUGCCAACUGUCAGUACUUAGCGGUAGCAUGCCAUGAAACUCACGCAUUUCGAAUCCACGCGGGUUGCUUUACGAUUCCACCACAUGUAUUUAUUUUAAUUCUUUGAUUGUUAUUACUAUAUUCGAGUUUAAUUCUACUUUUUUAUUAUUAUUACACAACUGCCGCCCCCGUCCGUCUCCUUUGGCCAAGAAAAGGGCCAACGAUCACCGACCGUCGUCGUUAUUUCCGAAAACGGAAUAGUUUACCGAAAAAACUUUUGCUUUUACGACUGUUUGAAGUUGUUGUUUCUUCUUUCUCAGCAGCUCCUCGUCCAAUGUGUUUACACUCGUUUUGGCGUUUUGUUUACGCUGCGCUUCCAGUCUCAAUCCACCCUCGCUCUCGUGCGGCGCGAUUAGAAUCCCGGCCAGUUCGACGCUCCGAAUCGGCCGUAUAUACGUUCGUUUAUGAAAUGUAAAUAUCGAAGUAAGUGCUUCGUUCGGCUCACUUUUCGAGAAUGUAAAUAUUUUGCUCGCGAGUCGCGACCAAAGCGCUACGAGUUGCGUUGCGUCGUGCGCGGCGACGGCGAGAUCGUUCAUUGCCCUCUCAGUUCAGCUCCGUACACACCGGUGCAGUGGACGCCGCGCAGCAACUGUCAAAUUGCUUUACAAUUGCGGCCGUCCAUUAUUUCCUUUUUUGUCCCCGCGCUUGAGAAACUCCGCUCGUCCGGAAUCGCAAAAGGAAACUCGGCAACAAUCGCCGCCGCCGCCGCCACAACCGCCGUGAAACACAAUGGGCAGAUUCCGAUUAAUACAUUUUAAUUUCUUUAUGUUUUUAUUAUCGAUUAUUAAUACCUUCCUAAAGAGCACACCGAGAGAUGCGGGGAUCCUGGCUGGAAGUCGCGGGACCUUCGAUCUUUCCUUUUGCGCUUUGUUCGACUGCCGCGCAGCAAUGGUGACUGCGACACAAUAAGACACAAUAUUCUUCACCAUGGGGUGUAGUCAGGGAGGGCAUAAGAUUUCUUUGGAUGUUUUCACAGAGUGAAUUUUUUGUUGAUGUCUUCCGAAAUUCUCUAACAAAGUUUGCUGUGAUUUUUUCUUGUAUCGUUUAUGAAUACCAAUGUAUUUUGAACUCUUCCAGAAUUUUUCUCACUUUCUGGUAAGGAUUGGCCGAUCUGACGUCUGGCAUGUGUGGUUUGAAAGUUAAUCGAUAACAUUGAUGAUCGAUCUUAUCGAUCAUCUACCAAACGACACCAGCCAAACGUCAUAAUUGGCUGAUCCCUAUCAGAAAGUUAGCAGAAUUCUGGUGACCAUUUACGCUAAAAAAAUGCUGGAUAACCGUAGCGUAAACAAAUGCAUUUGUCUUAGCGUGCGCGAAUGGCUUUAGAUUAACGUGCACCUGAAGGGCAAUACAGUAGACGUUCGGUCGGUGCAAACGGUUUAACUGCAAUGCUUUUUAACUGCAAGUCCGGUAAGUGCAACAAAUUUGCAGUUAUCGCACCGCCAAACGUCAAAAUGGUGCGCCAUGUUAGCCCUAAUGAACAGUCGAGUGAAUUUUUCGUUCAUUUUAUGUCAAUUGAUGGCUUGUUGACACUGUCAGGCGUUGCAGUUAUCGGAUUUCCGUUCGCUAAGUGAAACGUAAACAUGUUGCAGUUAUCGAACGUCUACUGUAGUCCAUUUUACGAGCCGAUUUUAUGAAUGAAUUUCGACAGGAGGUAGUGUCCAAUAACCCGUCAACAUUGUUGUCACUUCGUAAAAUGGCUCAUACACGCUUAAAUUCAGAAAUUGAUCUCGGUAAAUGGUUAACCGAGAAUCCAACAGCUGAUAUCUCGGUAAAAUAUUUACUGAUUCUCGGUAAAAAAAAAUUACCGAGAUUUCGGUAAACCAUUACCGAGUCUCGGUGAACUUUGCCGAGAUCUCGGUAAAAAGUUGGAUUACCGAGAUCUCGGCAAAGUUUUAACGACAUCUCGGUAAAACUUUUAACGAGAUUCAGUAAAAAUUAUUACCGGAUUCUCGUCAAUCCGUUUGCUGAGGUCGGCGAUUUAAUUUAAGUGUGUAGCUUAUAACUUUGACGCCCGACAGCGGGGAAUGCACAAUAAACGUCAGUCAUGUUGUCAUGUAUAGUUUAUUUCAUUGCUAACUGGACUGCGACAAAGUGUGGAAUCUUAAAUAAAAGUGCGAUAUUGCAUCAUCGAGCUAAUGAAUAAGUGCGAUGAAGACACCGAAACGAUCUGACACCAAAUCGCACUUUUAUUUGAGAUUCCGCACUUCCUCGUCGCACUUUUAACUGCGCAAUGCGCAAUAUAAUCAGUUGAUCCACGGUCUUAUUUUUCCGCUGGAUUGCUUCUCCUUUUCUUCUCUAAAUGCGGGCACUGUCUUGGGGCAAGACACUGUGCUGGAGAGUACAUUUUUCUUCACAGAGUUGCUCAGAAAUUCUCCGGAUUGCUCCCGUUUUUGUUUGGGUGUUGCCAGAUUCAUCGCAAAAUCAAAACAAUAUUGCCCUAUAUUCCGCUUUUCUUGCAGUUUUAGGGGUGCUUUCCGACAAAUUUCGUCGAUCAUUGGUAAAAAGAGUUACUCAGAAUUUCUCAGAGUUACUCUCGUUUGCACAGUGUCUUGCCCCUAGGGCAAUGACAUAUUCAUGAACAUUUAGCGAUUGAAAGUUCACUGGAUGUUCACCGGAUCUCGCCGGAUGCAAGAUGUGAGCAGUGAUUUUGAUAAACAAGACCCGCAGUUACCGUUUCACAGCAUGCUGUCAGUUGGCGUGUGACGUCAUCGUGGACAAGUUCAUGGGUUUAGUGAACAAUGUUGUGACCAGAGGGAGGGGUGCGACACUAGUUUACCCAAGUUGAAAUAUUUAAAAAAAUCCGAAAAAAGACGAAAAACCGGUAAAAGUUUCUGGAAAAAAAUCAUGAAGUUCUCCGACCUCCUUCGUUUCUAACCCUAGCUACACCCCUUCAUUGCCGAUGCUUCCGAUCCGAUCGAACCGCCCGGGUGAAAAGUAAACAAUUGUAUCAAUGACAGUUUACGACUGUAACGAAAAAGGCAAAAAAGCAAAAACUGCGAACGGAAAGAAAGGCACAGUCGCCUCCUCUCCGGAGUCGUUUCCUUUUCUCUUCAUUUGAAAUGCAGAGGACCCCUGCUGCCAGGAGGUCCCUCUUGCCCUCUUGCACAAUUUGCUCACUGUGUGUUGUUAUUUGUUCUUGUUUUCGGGUCUCCGGGGUCAUUGCUACUGGUUUUGUUUGUUUUUGGGAUUUGUCGCUUUGUAUUCUCCUCUCCCUCAAGUGGGUCGUUAACCUUCUUUUUGUCCACUUUUGAAGUGCUGAGGAUGAUUGAGAAGGAAACUAUAAAUCACGGACCAACGACGCAACGGACGCCCAUAAAUUUAUCGAUUUUUGACCUCGGUUUGGCAGGUAGAUGUGAUAUUUUGCACGACGCAAAAGCAUAAAUUUUGUGGCGACUCGUUUCCAUACGCUCGGGCUCUCUCCAGGGAGGAACCAGUUCCUCGGCGACGACGACGAUCGCACGCGCGUGUCAUUGCGAUCUUUUGAGGUUAGGAAGAAGCAGGUUUCCGUCCGUCCCGCCCUGCUGCGAAACAGGUUUAUGAUUUGUGUUGUCCCCACGGCGAGAGAAUCUCUGCCGGUUGCUGCCGCCGUAGGUUGAGCUGUUUUCUUAUACUUUUCGCGCAGACAGGGGAGUGGUUUAUUUACAUUUUUAUUACCGAUUGUCAGAAGCUUCGGAAAGUACGUUGACGCCUCAACGUGGAGCUUUGUUAAGCGAAAACAAUUUCCGAGCUAUGAAUAUCUAAGCGUGACGCGAAGAUCUCCAGCUCGUUUUAAUUGACAGAUUGACAGAUCGACAGUUGACAGAUUGACAGAGACGGGAAUCACUCAUACUGCAUUGUUUUGUACUUACCCCGAAUGCGAAUCCAACGAUUUUCACUCAAUCACCGAGCACCAAUUAACCCCUCUUCGAGAGCAAACACAGAACAAAACAACGAGGAAGUUCCGAACCCGUACAAAUUCCUCCGCAUAGUCGAAACUUUUCACACAUCAAUCACCGCAGCAGCAGCAGCUGCUGUCACUGUUUUGCGGCAUCACCGUUGACAGCUGGGAAACCUCAAAACAACCACAACAACAACUUCGACAUCGACAAUGACGUCGACUAGUAUGAUGCGGGACAGCUUCUUCAACGCUUGCUGCGUGUGUGUUCUAGGAAUUUCUAGAUUCUAGGUCUUCCCACACACAAAUCACUGUUUCGUACGAGCAGCAGCAGCAAGUGAAGGGUAUCGAUUUCAUCCCGAAGGGCAGCUGUCUGCGCGAAAGGAUGACUUCCUCUCUGGAUGAAAGGUGACACCGCACACAACCACACUCGCUUGUUCGUUCGAUAUUGUCACUUGCCCCGAAAAUUUCCUACCGUACUUCUCACGACGUUUUUUUGGAAGACGAAGAAUGGAGGAACCUUACGUCAAGAGGGAUCAUUUAACCCGACGAAAAAAAACCUGUCCAAUAAAUUUUUAUUGCCUUAAUCCAUUCUCCGAUUGGUUCCUUCGGUUCUCGCUCGGGAUCGGGAUCCCUCGCUCCAGCCAACUGAAUUUACGAGCCUUUCCCAAACUAUAAAAUAUUUAAAUUUACUCUCGCCGUGUCCAGAUAAACCGACCCGAAGAUCUCUAAUCGGUUACCUCACGUCAUUAAAAUUCAAUAACACGAACGAACUCCAGCCAGGCCAGACCAACUUUUCGAGGCCCGAGCCCGCUGGUGAUUAGGGCUCUAGAACUCGUAGAAAAUGGGAAAAGGAAACUGAUAAUCUCCCAACGACGACGGUGUCGCCGUCACCGUCGUGGAGAAAGCCCUCUCCACACACACGGACACGCAACCGAGCGCGGACGGAACGGAAGAUAUAUUGGCCGGGACUAAUUUGAAUUUAGCUGAUGCCCGUCCGUACUCUCCAACUCUUAAAUUGCCGCGCGCAAUCAAUUUCGAACAAAUUUUGAAUAAUAAAAGAAACUUUGGAGAAGUAGAAAAAAACCGGGAAUUUUCAUCCGAGUAGGCUUGCGGAGCGUCACGCAACCCCGACCGACGCGACCGACAACAAUAACAAAGCGAACGAGGGGCUUUCCACGCAUCGAAAUGCUUUCUCCGUCGUGUUUCGUGUCGUUCGUGGAUGAGAUAAAAGGCCCUAUAACAAAGCAACCCAUAAAUUAUAGGCUAAACACUGUGCUCCGCGCUCUUUCUAGCGGUUAGCUCGGUAAUGACUGCGCUGGCUGACCAACGAACGGAUCUGAUCGACCAUUCCGAUGCGUGAAAUGCGAUAGCCCCCUCGUUUUGACAAAUCACGCGUCGUCGUCCCCUCGGUUUCGCUGUCACAUCGAUGACAUUGACGGUCAUCGUUGUCAAACCGCAAAAAUUUAAACAAGAGUGUCCUCCUGAUUUGACAUGCGAUGCGACGGCGGAAUCGAUUUCAACCGGUCGUCGGUCCGAGUUCGGGUCGUCGAUGUUGACCGAACAGAUUACCCCGUCCCCAACUUUGAUGGCAUCCAUGCCCUGGAAAGUAGGGGUGGGAUAAGUCCAUCAAGCAUCAAGCAGCAUCGCUGGGCUAAUCCGAAUGGAAUUGCUUUUCGCGUUUGGCCUCGUUACCUUGCGAUGGCUGGUGCUAUUGACGAACUGCGUCGUUUUUUGUUGUUGUUUGACUUCCGUCUCUACGACUACGACGGGUUUUGACCUUUCUGGGUUAGGGAUUAAAGACGGUUUCGGUGGACAUCAGGAGGAAAUCGAUUUUCUUGCGAAGUGUGGAGGCAGUGCAGCAGUGGUCAGGGUUGGAUACGGUGUUUGAAGUGGAUGGAAGUAUCUAGGUUAAUCGGUAUUUGAUAGGAAGUUCGUCGUGGAAAAUGAGGUUAUUAAACAGAGCUAAAAUCUUAAAGAUGUUUCUGGAAUCUGAAUUUUAUUUCAUCAUCCAGACUUACGGAAUGUGAGCAACAAUUAUUAAAUACAAGAGAAAAGUCGGAAGCUCGGUUUUACCGAACUUUUGGAUUUCUUAGACCUCCCAAAGAAUUCGUCGAGCUCUUUUGAGAAUUCUUGGAAAUGCUUUUGUCAAAGACUGACGUCAAGUUCGAUAUUGUUGUAAAAACGCAGACGUUUCCGGUUCGUGCAUUUGAACACCCCUCGUAAUCGGGACAACUUUCAUGCCAAUAGAUGCACCAUGAACCACCGUGAACUCAGAAGUUUGCGCUGAAUCUUCUAAAUCUAUGUUACGACAAGGCAAGUACUCAGACGGUUCUGCUGAGUCUUUUGAGUAUUGUUCUGCCGUGACAUCCGGAACUACAACAAGGAGGCACUAAAUCAGAAACGAAAGGAAAGAAGACGUCUGUCGUUCUGUAGGAAUCCUGUACGAUCUGAGCUCAUCUUCCGUUGAGAAUUUCUCGUAGGUUAGGGAACUGACAGAACCUCAGUGUUUUCUUGAGUCUUGGUAGAGCUUCCUGUUGAAAUCCAGAUACUUCCGAUGAUAUUUGCGGCAGUAUAUUGCAAGUCCCGUGUUAACAUUUAGGUUUCUACCAAACUCUUGGAUCUCGUCUGUACCUGAUCUGGAACCUUAAGGUUAUUGUCGAAAACCCAAAAAAAUCGUCAUGGUUUCCUGAGAAUUCUUGGGAAUACUUAUGUGAGCGUCGGAAUCUCGUGCAUUCUAAUACCCCUCGUAAUCGAGACAACUAUCAUGUCAAUCAAUACACCGUGUACCACGGUGAACCCAAAAGUUUCCUUUGAAUCUUCUAAAUGGAGACGACAAGUUACAAUAAGAGAUCAUACUUCUAUUAGCUGUUAGUACUUGUGAGAUGUGAGCUUAGGUAAACACGUUUAUAGUUUCCUUCCCCUCGCAAGUAUCAGUAACUUUCUGAAGUCCGAAUUAUGCGCAUGGUUCCUACCAUUCCGCAUAAGACUGUCGCGUUUAGUAGUAAGGCUCAGUGGAGGAUUCCUGUUUUUACUUUGAAGACUGUCAGGAAGGUCACCAUUGUCACGCAACUACUGUAGAAAUCCAGCCGUAAGUAUUACCAAUGUUUUUUUCUGGAAAUUCUCACGAGAACUUCGUAUAAAUUUCAAACAGAGCUACGCAAUUUUUUUUCGAAGAUUUGUUCAAGAAAGCCUGUUAAAAUUUCUCCUGUAGUUCCUCGGGAAUACCUCCAGAAGUUGCACGGGAAAUCCUUUAGGAUUUCAUCAGGAAUUUCUCUAGGAAUUCAUUCAAGAGUUUCUCGGAAAUUCUUUCAGGUGUUCCUCGGAAAUUCUUCCAUAAGCUCCUCACAAAUUCCGCCUGGAGUUCCUCGGAAAUUCUUCCAGAAGCUUGCCGAGAAAUUAUUUAGGGGACCGUCGGGAAUUCCUUCCGGAGUUUCUUCGGAAUUCCUCUAGAAGAUCUUCAGCAAUUCCUCAAGGAGUUCCUAGAAAAUUCCUCAAGGAGUUCCUCGAGAACUCCUACUGGAGUUCCUCAACUUGAGAACUCCUACUGGAGUUCCUCAACUUGAGAACUUCUACUGAAGGAUUCCUCCUGGAGUUUCUCGGAAACUCCUUCUGAAGUUCGUCAGACAUUCAUCCAGGAGUUCUUCGGAAACUUCUCCAGGAGAUCUUCAAGAAGUCUUUUAGGAGUUCCUCAGGGGUUCCUUGGAAAUUCCUCCAGAAGUUUCUCGGGAACUCCUCCAGGAGUUUGACGAGCAUUUCUUCAAAAGUGCCUAGUAAUCUCCUCUAGGAUAUCCUCUGGAAUUCCGCCAGGAGUUCCUAGGAAAUUCCUCCAGAAGCUCCUCUAUAAAUCUUCCAGGAGUUCCUCGGGAAUUUCUCCAGAAGUUCUUCAUGAAUUCCUCCACGAGUUUCUCGGAUAUUCUUCCAAGAGUUCCUCGGAAAUUUCUCUACGAGUUCCUCGGAGAUUCUUUCAGAAAUUCUUCAGAAAUCUCUUCAAAAGAUUCUCGCGUAUACCUCUAGGAGCUCCUCGCAAACUCCACCAGGAUUUUACAGAGAAUGUCUUCAGGAGUUCCUCGGGAAUUCCCCCUGAAGCUCUUCGAGAACUCCUCCAGGAGUUUAUCGGGAAUUCCUCUUGGAGUUCUCCGUGAACUUCUCCACAACUUCUUCUGGAAUUCAUCCAACAUUUCCUCGGGUAUUCUUCCAGGAGUUCCUUGGGAAUUUCUUCACCGGUUCCGCGGAGGUUCUUCCAAGAGUUGCUCGGAAACCUCUGCAAGAGUAUCUCGGCUAUAUCUCUAGAAGUCCCUAGGAAAUUCCUCCAUGUAUUCCUCGGAAUUCCUCCAGGACUUCCUCGAGAAUUCUUCCAGGAGUUCCUCGAAAGUUCCUCCUGAAACUCCUCGGGAAUUACUAUAGGGGUUUUUCAGGAAUUCCUCCAGGAGAUCCACAAGAACUCCUUCAAGAGUUCAUCGACAAUUCCUUUAGGAGUUUCUCAGGAGUUCCUAUAGGGGUUCUUCGGAAUUUUUCUAGGAGUUCCUCGGGAAUUAUUUUAGGAGUUCCUCGGGAAUUUCUCCAUAAUUUUCCCAAAAAAUCUCCAGGAGGUACACGGAGGAAUUUUUGGAUUUCUUUGAAGACCUCGUGGAAAUAAAUACGAGGAACUUCUUUAGGAGUUUCCGGAAAAAACAUGGAGAAAACUAUCUGGAGAGAACCAUGCAUUAUUGCUGAAGGAGUUUUUGAUGAGCUUCUGAAUUAAAUUUCAUGGAAAUUCUGCAUGAAAUUUUCCAGGAAAAUCCUGGAGAAAUACUCGGACUCUUGAAAAAAUUGAAAUGAAACUCCUGAAGGAAUUUUCUAGUAUCUCCAAGGAGGACUUCUAUAGAAAUUUCUUGCAAACUCCUACAGGAAUUCAUGAUGAAGAGAUGACGGAAUUUCUGAGGAUCUCUUAGACGAAUUCCCAUAGAUUUCCUGCAGGAAUUCCCGUAGAUCUCCUGGAGGAAUAUCCAAGGAACUUCUCCGAAGAACUCCUGGAGGAAUAUCCAAGGAACUUCUCCGAAGAACUCCUGGAGGAAUAUCCAAGGAACUUCUGGAGGAAUUCCUGAGGAAAUUUUGGAGGAAUGUCUAAAAAAUUCCCGAGGAACUGCUAGAGGAUUUCCCGAAGAUCUCCUGGAGGAAUUCCCAAGACACUUCUGGAAGAGUUCAUUUAAAACUCCUAGUAGAAGAUCCCAAGAACUUUUGGAAGAAUUCUCGAGGAUCUCCUGGAGAAUUCCCGAGAUACUACUAGAGGAAUUUCCGAGAACCUACUGUAGGAGUUCUUAACUAUCUUCCGGAGGAAUUCCCGAAGAACUCUUUGAGGAAUUGCCGAUGAAUUCCCGAGGAUCUUCUGGAGGAAUUUCCGGAUUUUUCUUGUGGAUCUCUUAGAAAUUAAUCUGGGGACUUAGACUUCUGAAGUAAAUUUCGUGAAAAUUCUGAAUGGGAAUUCCGGAUAAUUUAUGUAGGAAUUUCCUGGGAGCUCCAAGAUACACUCUCGGGGAAUUCUGUAGAAAUUGCCUUGAAACUCCUGCAGGAUUUUUUGAAGAACUGAUGGAGGAAUUCCCGAGGAUCUCCUGUAGGAAGUCCCGCAAAUCACUCAGAGGAAUUCCCAAGGAGGAAUUCUCGAGGAAGUCCAGGAGGAAUUCCCAAGGAUCUCCUGGAGCAAUAUCCGAAGAACUCCUGGAGGAAUUCCUGUGGAACUCCUGGACGAUUUCCCGAGGAAGUCCUGCGGGAAUUCCCAAAGCACUGCUGAAAUUCCCGUGGAUUUCCGAGGAUUUCCUGUAGGAAGUCCCGCGUAUCUCUCAGAGGAAUUCUCAUAGAUCUCCUGGAGGAAUUCUCGAAGAAGUCCAGGAGGAAUUCCGAAAGAUCUACUGGAAGAAUUCCCGUCAUGCACCUGGAGAAGUUCCUUCAAAAUUCCUUGAAGAAUUCCCGAGGAUCUCCUGGAGAAAUUCCCGAGGAACUUUUAGAGGAAUUUCUGAGGAACUCUUGAAGGAAUUUAUAACUCCUGGAUGAAUUCCCGAGCAUCUUCUGAAAGAAAUUUUGUGGAACUCUUGGAAAUAAAUCCGAGGAACUUCUUGAGGAAUUUCGGUGAAAACCGGGAAAUAUUCAAGAGAAAUCCUGAGAGAUCCAUGCAUUGUGAAUUUAAUGGAAGUUCUGGAAGGAAUUUUCGGAUAGUUUAUGUACUUAUUUCCAGUCAAAUCAUGGAACAAUUCCUUGGAUAUUCCUGUAAGAAUUCUACCACCAAUGCUGCAGGAAUUCUUCGGUUCUUAAAGAAUUUCCAUGGUAUUCGUGGGGAAGCCAGGGAGGGAUUCCUGGAAAACUUUUAGAGAAAUUCUCGGAGACUCCUGGAGAAAUUUACCUGGAAACUUAGGAAGCAUUUCCGAUGAGGUAUCUGAAAUAGUUCGCAAGCUUCCACGAGGUUCCUGGACUGAAGUGUUCGGUGUUCUGUCUGAGUAACAUCCGGAACUUCGAACUAAAGCUGGAGUUCUGAAGUUUCCGCUCAUAUUUUCGCCUGGUUCUUUAAUUUCUACAGGGACUAAUGAGAAACACUGCGAUCCAAAAGCUCCGUUGAGGUUUGCUAUGACUGAGUUUGGCUGUGAUCACCGGAGUCACGAUGCUAAUGUAGGAAACUGGACGUUUCCGAUGAGGUAUGCGACGAAGUGAUAGAUGUUCCACUAUGCAACUCUCAGAUAUUCGAAGGUUCUUUCAGCAAUCCAAAGGUUUUCGUUGAGGUGUUUGCCAAAAUCUUGUUCGUACGGACGAACCUAUGCAGUCUUGGGAGCUGUCAGAACCUCAAGUUUUCCUUAAGAAUCCUCAAAUCUCCCUUUUACGACAUCCGGAAUCAACUUGAAAGUAGGUACUACUUUUCCAGUAGUUACGUCGAACUUGCUUCAGGUAGCCAGAAGUUUCCAUCGUGGUUCCCGCUCUGUUCAUAUUUCUGGCCGGUUCUAGGAUUUAUUGUGGGACGUUCCAAAAAUGUGAGGAUUUUCUUCUGUAAAUGCUCAAAACUGGGAAUUUGGGAAGAAGUUUGAAAACUUCAGUUCCUAUUUGCACCAGAAAAUCCUGUAAUAUUCCAGAAGAUUUUUUUUUGAGAUUUUUACAAAAAUCUUUGUUCAUAUCCGUCUAUAACUUGGAAACACUGCUCUUUACUCAGCAACUUCGAAGUUACUGCAGGUUUCCAUCGAGGUUCCCGUACUGUUGAAGCUUCCGGAACCUCGAACUUCAGCAGGAAUUCUGAAGUUUCUGUUGAUAUUUUUCUCUGACAUUUGGAUAUAUUCUGGCAAUUGAAUAAUCAGAGAAGUUUCUACUGAGCAACCGGCAAUUCAAAAUUCUGGAGAAAGUUUCCUGAUGUCGAUAGGUUGCUGCACUCAGCCGGAAGUAUCCGACGAGGUUUUUGCUCUGUUCAAACUUUCAGAACCAUGAACUCAACCAGGAAUUCUGAAAUUUCCGUUCAUGUUCCUGUCCGGCUCUUAGAUUAAUUUUGGACAUUCGAAUUUGAGAGGAUUUUCUGCUGAAGCUGCUCGAAACAGGGAAUUCUGGAAGAAGUUGUUACAAGUGUUAUUUUAACUGGUAAACAUGUUCCUUAAUAUAAUGUACAUUUAUAGUGCUCUGGAGUAAAAGAACACCAUGGGAUCUGAGCAAUCUCAUUUGUGAUAGCAUACAUUCAGGCCAUUUCGGGCAAAAAUCAUCUAUCAAAUAAGUGAAUCGUUCCCUAACAGGAACAUCAGAAUGUUAACGUCUCGUAUUGAAAGCUGAAUCAAGGUGCCCCCUUAGGAUUAGAAUUUCCUAGACAAUGCAAGCUAUGAAAGGCAACCAGCCAUAUAAAAUACUUUUACAGGAUUGAGUGAUGGACCAACAAAAUUUCUGAAACCUCGUCAUCCUGGCAUCGGAAAUGGUUAUCCAAUAGGGUAAUAGAGCAACAUUUAUGUUUUCUGUUGUAAUUGUCCAAUUGUGAUGUCCUAAUUUAUUACGCAUUUGUAAGGUUCCACUAUAAUAUGUUAUAUUUUAAUGUGCAUUUGUAGUGCUCCAUCGUUUUACCAUUAUAAUGGCGCACAACGUGGGGCGGGUUUUGUAGGUGUCCAUGUUCUAUUCUGUUCGAUUUGGAAUUGUAGCCUACGUACAGUUUUGUACACUAACAUUUUACAACAACAACGCUUUCUAACGACGGUGGAGUCGUUUUAGCGAACUCACAGUACGCCACAGUCUGUUUUCGUAGCGUAUUAUUUCGUUUCCCGGUAAACGCUGGGCCCGUAUGGAAACUUUAUUGACAAUAAAUACAUUUAAUAUUACACAUUUUACAACAACAACGCUUUCUAACGACGGUGGAGUCGUUUUAGCGAA